GUGCAGGGUCGGCUCCAGGACAGACGGAUCCAACCCUGGGGAGCUCGUGGUAGCCGGAUCCCAAUGGCGUCACUUGCUCCGAGAGAAACCAACGGAGCCUGCAAGAUUGGUUCCGGUACCUACGGAUCUGACGCUGGGAGCCCGUGGUGGCCGGAUCCGACGGCGGCGAGCCUUCGUUGCACAUGCCCAGGUUCUGUCAAGCAGCACGUUCGGAGUCUCGGGAAGGCCCUUGCCGCCGACAUCAAUGUUUUGCUUCUCUCGUCCGCAUCCACGGGAUCCACACCCCACUCCGCUCCUCUCCCCCAAGCCACCGAAGACGAUAUUUAUGAGAGGGGUUAGGGAAGGCGGAGAGGAUGCAGAGUUCGACUCUGACUAAGAGUUCUCCUCUUGAGGGAUGACGCACGUAUAUAUACGAAAAUUCAGUAACAGGAUUGCUUCGUUCCAGUUUUCUUUGUCUCUUGAUCGCAGGAAAGCAGAUCUAUCAACAAUUGUAUUUCCAGGACAGAAUGCCCUACAAAACUUAUAACCAUUGUUCUUUGAUCUAUUUGAAUUGAUAGUUCAUCAAGCUAAAUUCAGGACCUUGAUUAAGAAACACAGAUUCCAUACUGACUGUGUUCUAUCUUGUUCACAAAUUUUCUCAUCUCCACCUUAGAAAAAUUCUAUUAUAGUUUAUUAAACAAUACUUUUCAGUUUUGUAUUGUAAGAAAGAAAGCCAAUACACUUCAACGACAGAGGAAGGUAGAAAAUAUUUUGCAAAAACAGAGUGUCUGAUUGUGCUUCGUCCCUGGUUUUAACUCUUGAAUGUAAAGAAGUGAAACAACUUGCCCGGUGAAGCUAUUUCACAUUUAACACUGACCCAGGACCUUUAAGCUACGUGAAGCAACCAUGAUGUAUAUCUUGCCUUCAGCAUGAUCAAAUUAUAUCAACUGAAAAAACUACACACACCAAUUGCCAAAGCCAAACUUACCAUUAUUUCAGUCAGAAAUGCAGAACAUAUACGUAUCAGAUUACCGAAUGAAUUACUAUCCCUGAUGGUAGACAAAGGAAACUGCUCACAGAACAAUUCGUACUAUGAUACUAUGGGCAUAUACUAAAGCAUUUUGAGAAGCAUAGAACUAAGCAAAGAGACCAUGAAUCUAUUUUGAUACCCUUCUUCUGAAGCUAUCAUUUCAGGUAUCAAAAUUUUGAUGUGUGAUCUGGUGUCCGAAGUAGAUUUGAAUGCUAGCAUACAUGAAAAUCAACAUUUUUUCUAUUUGGACUUUCUUUAAGUAGGUAAGUAUUUUUCGGAUAACAACUUCGCUUUACCUCAAAAUUGAUCAACCGAUGUGCCAACGAAUAGAACUAUAGAAUUCAGUAAAGUAUGUGCUUAUGUAUUCCCAGAUCCUUGCGAUUCAAACAGUAAACUUCCAAUGAUGGGACUGCCUCUCACGUCCUUUAGCAGCGGAACUCCAUCGAUUAAAUCCUGCUGAUGUAAAAAGAGAAUGUGAUUACUACAGGAUAGUUAUAGAUUAGCCACCAAGAAAAAAAAGGCAAAUACAAAAGGAAAAAUAAAGCUGGAAUAUUUAUCCAUUGCUUAGUGUAAAGAGAAAGCACAUGCAACCAUGCAUUUUUUAUCAAUUAUAAUUGUUUCUACUGGUUUCCCUUCUCCAAAUAACCUGGCAAAUUGUACAAACAGACUAAACAUAUACAAAUUAUUGAUAGCUCAGUUCAUGCCUAACAGAGACCCAUCGCCGACCCGACGCACCUUGAGACAGAUCUUCUUCCUUUGUUUCUUGACUGAUAUGCUGCAUAAAAGUUCU
RNAcentral lists this long non-coding RNA (1799 nucleotides) under Triticum aestivum (bread wheat). Its description in RNAcentral is "long non-coding RNA (TAES_LNC025237)". The record is from RNAcentral. Lineage: Eukaryota; Viridiplantae; Streptophyta; Magnoliopsida; Poales; Poaceae.